GGAGAAAAAAAAGGAAAAAGAAGCUCACAACGGGUGCCGCAAUGUCAAAGCCUUACGGGAAAACAGUCCCCAAUAUUAAGGUCUUGCAGGUACUUGUGCCCUUCAAUUACUGAGAUUAAGCCACUAGAAGUCACAUUCUCACACCGAGAAACAUCAACAGUCUGCAAACAAGCAUACGCAUUAAUCAAUAACUGCCCCCUUAAUUCUCCACAUGAUUUGCUAAUCUGCAGUGGCAUUGCUACAUAUAUCAGGAUUUAACUGUUGUGCAUCUCUCUAACGAAUGGCAUUUGUUGGGAGAUUAUUUGAAAACGCCAACGAAUAUGAGAAGGAUUUUCAAAUUCUGGUCUAUAUUAUUUUCCUCUUGUGCCGUAGAAUCCUGCGGCUAUUUUGACAUGCAACUGAUGCUUUUGUGAUAAACAGCGAAGAAAAAGCAAAACGGCGAAAAGAUGUACCAAGAUUUACCUGCAAUGAGUUGCUCCCAUUGUUGAGAAAUUGUAAUCCUUCAUCAUUUAUAUGGGAGCAUCCUACCAUGCUCAGAUCUUCCAGCUUUCGAAGGGAGGAGACAAAUUGAAGUGAUCUAUUUGUUAUCUGAAAAGGAGAAAGAAGAAGUCACAGCAGGUAAGAGCUCCAUUAGAUACAAAGAUUCCUAAGAUCAACAGCAAAAAUUGAGAUUUUAGCGCUCAGAUCAAUAGUUCUGUCAACUUCACUGCUUCCUAGUUAACAUAUAAUGUCGUCUCAACAGCUGGUACCACUAGAAGCCCAAAAACUCGGAGGAGAAACAAAAGAGAACAGAAUAAAUGCGGAUCGGAUCAUUGUACACAAUUGCAUUCGCCACAGUUUCCCAAAGAUCCAAGGAGGAGGACAAAGACUUGGGGCUUCACCUUG
This 885-nucleotide long non-coding RNA is filed under the name Musa acuminata (dwarf banana). RNAcentral describes it as "long non-coding RNA (MACU_LNC006713)". Lineage: Eukaryota; Viridiplantae; Streptophyta; Magnoliopsida; Zingiberales; Musaceae. The record is from RNAcentral.